UUUGUCGGAUGAACAGGGAAU
RNAcentral lists this microRNA (21 nucleotides) under Eugenia uniflora (Surinam cherry). Its description in RNAcentral is "eun-miR10216-3p". The record is from miRBase by way of RNAcentral. Lineage: Eukaryota; Viridiplantae; Streptophyta; Magnoliopsida; Myrtales; Myrtaceae.